AGAUGAAUGUAUUUUACCUUGUUAACAAUUAACACGGAAAAAUAAAUAAAUAGUUACCAGGGUAGCAAAAAUCUCGCAAGUAAAGAUGUUGUGACUCCUUGUUUAUGAAGGUAGAAACUUCGUGAUUACAAAAAAUCUCAAAAGUA
Long non-coding RNA from Octopus sinensis (East Asian common octopus), 146 nucleotides. RefSeq lists it as uncharacterized. The transcript is spliced from 3 exons. Lineage: Eukaryota; Metazoa; Mollusca; Cephalopoda; Octopoda; Octopodidae. The record is from RefSeq and is a predicted model, not a curated record.